GUACAAGAGGGCCUAUAAAUGUGUAAACUAACAACGUGACAGCGUAGACGAAGCUCGGCGGGCCGGCCUGCAGACGACUUGUGUCAGGAGGCUCUUCCUCUGCAGCUCCACAUUGUGUAAUUCUGUCAUGCAGUUGACUUAAUGUACAGCAGCAAAUAGACAUCACUUUGCCUUCUCUUUUUUUUCCCUCUCUCGGUCUGACUAAAUAGUGAGUGAACUUUUGAUAGUGGGGCCUUUGAAUAAUGUGCUGAUCACCGCGGGGCUGUGCAGCUGCGUAUCUCCACAGGGCGGAGCCGCCUCUGAAACACUCUCACCUUUAGUAACCUCGGCCCUUUGGAGCCGUCUCCCAGACAGGACGGUCUGUUCUCUGAGUUCUCGUGAGAUGAGUCCCUGGAGUUACAGAAGAGUCAUGUCCAGGGCUCGGUCAGGAUGGAGGCGGCGGGGGGUGGAGCGGCUCUAUUGUUCACAUUUGUCUCUAUCGGUGCAGCUGAUCCGCGGCCCAGAAAAAAGGAGGAAAAGCCGGCCUGAAACAAUGGCCGGCCCCAGCUCCUAUUUAUAUGUCAAUUCUUGGUUAUAUAUAUAUAUGUGUAUGUUUGCUUAUUUUGGGGCUUUGGCAUCAGUUUGUACAAAUUUGAAACCACGCUACAUUGUGAAAAAACCUCGUGUAUACAAACAAGUACAGCCUGUUCGUUGCCAGCAGGGUAACCGGAUUCCUCGCUGGAGCUCGGUGUAAACUACCAGCUAUCCCACCGAUAUCAUUUCCAUAGUUUAGUAGCUUCAUCUCACCAGAGAUAAAGAGGAAACAAACCACUAGCUCGAGCAUGUCUGAGCACAUGUUGGGAGAAAGGAAGGGAAACACCAUGACGGGGCUGCCAGCCGAACACAGGAAGUGCAAUAAAUUGGUGAUGUAAUGCAUCGUACCAGCUCAGCAGUGUUUUCACGAUAACACCCUCAUGAGCGCCGAGGGUGCACUCACUAGAUACUGCGCACAGCCCCAGCGUUAUAACACAGAUUAAAGUGCACGUUUGACCAGUACGUUCACGUUCAAAUGGGGCAGUAUGUAACAGGGCAGUGACAUCUUGGGUGCAGUCGGGUCGUUCAUUGAAACACUCAUUUGGAAGUGAGAUUUUUUUUCUAUGUGCAUUCACACCAACCAACAUUGAGAAUCCAAUUGUCAUCAAACCUGCUUGUCAACCCAAUAAAGGGAAAUGAGAUGCAUGCUUUGGCUGCAGCUGCAGUGGGGGUCAAGUGUGAACGCAGCAAUGUGGACGAACCAAAUCCACAAUUCUUUACGGGUAAAGAUAAACAGAUGGAUGUGGCGGAGGAGGAGCCCCGAACGAAUACGGAAUGCAUGAGUCACACAACCUCCUUUGUUCGCCAGAGAAAG
Gasterosteus aculeatus aculeatus (three-spined stickleback) is the source of this 1387-nucleotide long non-coding RNA. NCBI's taxonomy places the organism in Eukaryota, Metazoa, Chordata, Actinopteri, Perciformes, Gasterosteidae. The record is from Ensembl.